Microplitis demolitor is the source of this 193-nucleotide small nuclear RNA. RefSeq annotates it as U2 spliceosomal RNA. The transcript has a single exon. The record is from RefSeq and is a predicted model, not a curated record. Lineage: Eukaryota; Metazoa; Arthropoda; Insecta; Hymenoptera; Braconidae.
AUCGCUUCUCGGCUUCAAUAGCUAAGAUCAAAGUGUAGUAUCUGUUCUUAUCAGCUUAAUAUCUGAUACGAUUCUCAUUGAGAAUCCAGUAUAUUAAUCUGAUUUUUGAAACUUGACGGAAAUUUGGGGCUUGCUCCAAAUCUGUCUCGAGUUGCCCUGGCAUUGCAGUGCCGUCAGGUGCAGCUCACUAAUA